GAUGAACGCUGGCGGCGUGCCUAAUACAUGCAAGUCGAGCGAACAGACGAGGAGCUUGCUCCUCUGACGUUAGCGGCGGACGGGUGAGUAACACGUGGAUAACCUACCUAUAAGACUGGGAUAACUUCGGGAAACCGGAGCUAAUACCGGAUAAUAUGUUGAACCGCAUGGUUCAACAGUGAAAGACGGUUUUGCUGUCACUUAUAGAUGGAUCCGCGCCGCAUUAGCUAGUUGGUAAGGUAACGGCUUACCAAGGCAACGAUGCGUAGCCGACCUGAGAGGGUGAUCGGCCACACUGGAACUGAGACACGGUCCAGACUCCUACGGGAGGCAGCAGUAGGGAAUCUUCCGCAAUGGGCGAAAGCCUGACGGAGCAACGCCGCGUGAGUGAUGAAGGUCUUCGGAUCGUAAAACUCUGUUAUUAGGGAAGAACAAAUGUGUAAGUAACUAUGCACGUCUUGACGGUACCUAAUCAGAAAGCCACGGCUAACUACGUG
RNAcentral lists this ribosomal RNA (497 nucleotides) under uncultured bacterium. RNAcentral's name for it is "partial 16S ribosomal RNA". It matches the Rfam family "Bacterial small subunit ribosomal RNA", at positions 28 to 507 of the family's 1533-position model. The record is from RNAcentral.